This 249-nucleotide ribosomal RNA is filed under the name uncultured bacterium. RNAcentral describes it as "partial 16S ribosomal RNA". It matches the Rfam family "Bacterial small subunit ribosomal RNA", at positions 524 to 773 of the family's 1533-position model. The record is from RNAcentral.
UACGAAGGGGGCUAGCGUUGCUCGGAAUUACUGGGCGUAAAGCGCACGUAGGCGGCUUCUAAGUCGGGGGUGAAAUCCUGGAGCUCAACUCCAGAACUGCCUUCGAUACUGGAGAGCUUGAGUCCGGGAGAGGUGAGUGGAACUGCGAGUGUAGAGGUGAAAUUCGUAGAUAUUCGCAAGAACACCAGUGGCGAAGGCGGCUCACUGGCCCGGUACUGACGCUGAGGUGCGAAAGCGUGGGGAGCAACA